This 292-nucleotide ribosomal RNA is filed under the name uncultured bacterium. Its description in RNAcentral is "partial 16S ribosomal RNA". The record is from RNAcentral.
GGACUACCAGGGUAUCUAAUCCUGUUCGCUCCCCACGCUUUCGCUCCUCAGCGUCAGGCAAGGCCCAGAGAACCGCCUUCGCCACCGGUGUUCCUCCCGAUAUCUGCGCAUUUCACCGCUACACCGGGAAUUCCAUUCUCCCCUACCUGCCUCUAGCCUGCCCGUAUCCACUGCAAGCCCAGGGUUAAGCCCUGGGUUUUCACAGCAGACGCAACAGGCCGCCUACGAGCUCUUUACGCCCAAUGAUUCCGGACAACGCUUGCGCCCUACGUGUUACCGCGGCGGCUGGCAC